GACGAACGCUGGCGGCGUGCUUAACACAUGCAAGUCGAACGAAGUGGCGAACGGGUGAGUAACGCGUAAUCAACCUGCCCUUCAGAGGGGGACAACAGUUGGCAACGACUGCUAAUACCGCAUACUGAAGGAGGGGAUUGCGUCUGAUUAGCUAGUUGGAGGGGUAACGGCCCACCAAGGCGAUGAUCAGUAGCCGGUCUGGGAAGAGGAACAGCCACAAUGGGAGUGAGACACGGCCCAGACUCCUACGGGAGGCAGCAGUGGGGAAUCUUCCUCAAUGGACGAAAGUCUGACGGAGCAACGCCGCGGGAGUGAUGACGGCCUUCAGGUUGUAAAGCUCUGUUAAGCGGGACGCGGUACCGGAAUAGAAAGCAACGGCUAACUACGUGCCAGCAGCCGCGGUAAUUC
This 408-nucleotide ribosomal RNA is filed under the name uncultured bacterium. Its description in RNAcentral is "partial 16S ribosomal RNA". It matches the Rfam family "Bacterial small subunit ribosomal RNA", at positions 28 to 526 of the family's 1533-position model. The record is from RNAcentral.